This 496-nucleotide ribosomal RNA is filed under the name uncultured bacterium. RNAcentral's name for it is "partial 16S ribosomal RNA". It matches the Rfam family "Bacterial small subunit ribosomal RNA", at positions 28 to 506 of the family's 1533-position model. The record is from RNAcentral.
GAUGAACGCUGGCGGCGUGCCUAAUACAUGCAAGUCGAGCGAACAGACGAGGAGCUUGCUCCUCUGACGUUAGCGGCGGACGGGUGAGUAACACGUGGAUAACCUACCUAUAAGACUGGGAUAACUUCGGGAAACCGGAGCUAAUACCGGAUAAUAUAUUGAACCGCAUGGUUCAAUAGUGAAAGACGGUUUUGCUGUCACUUAUAGAUGGAUCCGCGCCGCAUUAGCUAGUUGGUAAGGUAACGGCUUACCAAGGCAACGAUGCGUAGCCGACCUGAGAGGGUGAUCGGUCACACUGGAACUGAGACACGGUCCAGACUCCUACGGGAGGCAGCAGUAGGGAAUCUUCCGCAAUGGGCGAAAGCCUGACGGAGCAACGCCGCGUGAGUGAUGAAGGUCUUCGGAUCGUAAAACUCUGUUAUUAGGGAAGAACAAAUGUGUAAGUAACGAUGCACGUCUUGACGGUACCUAAUCAGAAAGCCACGGCUAACUACGU